Molecule: ribosomal RNA, 496 nt
Filed under: uncultured bacterium
Lineage: Bacteria
Description: bacterial SSU rRNA
Rfam family: Bacterial small subunit ribosomal RNA
Source: RNAcentral
AUGGCUCAGGGAUGAACGCUAGCCGGCAGGCUUAAUACAUGCAAGUCGAGGGGCAGCACGAAUAGCAAUAUUUGGUGGCGACCGGCGCACGGGUGCGUAACACGUAUACAAUCUACCUUCAACAGGGGGAUAGCCUUUACGAAAGAGAGAUUAAUACCCCGUAAUAUAAGAGACGGCAUUCGUUUUUAUUGAAAGUUCCGACGGUUGAAGAUGAGUAUGCGUCUGAUUAGCUAGUUGGUGAGUAAUGGCUCACCAAGGCGACGAUCAGGUAGGGGAUCUGAGAGGACCUAACCCCCACACUGGUACUGAGACACGGACCAGACUCCUACGGGAGGCAGCAGUAAGGAAUAUUGGUCAAUGGAGGCAACUCUGAACCAGCCAUGCCGCGUGCAGGAUGACGGCCCUAUGGGUUGUAAACUGCUUUUGUACCAGAGAAAACCACCGUACGUGUACGGUGUUGAUAGUAUGGUAAGAAUAAGCAUCGGCUAACUUCGUG